Molecule: ribosomal RNA, 450 nt
Filed under: Pseudoramibacter alactolyticus
Lineage: Bacteria; Bacillati; Bacillota; Clostridia; Eubacteriales; Eubacteriaceae
Description: bacterial SSU rRNA
Rfam family: Bacterial small subunit ribosomal RNA
Source: RNAcentral
GACGAACGCUGGCGGUAUGCUUAACACAUGCAAGUCGAACGAGAAGUCUUUUAUUGAACCUUCGGGGGAUAUAAGAGACAGACAGUGGCGAACGGGUGAGUAACGCGUGGGCAACCUACCUAUCGGGGCGGGAUAGCCUCGAGAAAUCGGGAGUAAAACCGCAUAACACGGAUAUAUCGCAUGAUGAAUCCGUCAAAACUCCGGUGCCGAUAGAUGGGCCCGCGUCUGAUUAGCUAGUUGGUAAGGUAAGGGCUUACCAAGGCAACGAUCAGUAGCCGGUCUGAGAGGGCGAACGGCCACACUGGAACUGAGACACGGUCCAGACUCCUACGGGAGGCAGCAGUGGGGAAUAUUGCGCAAUGGGGGCAACCCUGACGCAGCAAUACCGCGUGAGUGAAGAAGGUUUUCGGAUCGUAAAGCUCUGUUAUUGGGGAAGAAGCAGGACGGUAC